CCUACGGGGGGCUGCAGUGAGGAAUAUUGGUCAAUGGACGGAAGCCUGAACCAGCCAUGCCGCGUGCAGGAAGACGGCUCUAUGAGUUGUAAACUGCUUUUGUACAAGGGUAAACCUGAAUACGUGUAUUCAGCUGAAAGUACUGUACGAAUAAGGAUCGGCUAACUCCGUGCCAGCAGCCGCGGUAAUACGGAGGAUCCAAGCGUUAUCCGGAUUUAUUGGGUUUAAAGGGUGCGUAGGCGGAUUGAUAAGUUAGAGGUGAAAUGUCCGGGCUUAACUCGUGAACUGCCUCUAAUACUGUUGAUCUAGAGAGUAGAUGCGGUAGGCGGAAUGUAUGGUGUAGCGGUGAAAUGCUUAGAGAUCAUACAGAACACCGAUUGCGAAGGCAGCUUACCAAUCUAUAUCUGACGUUGAGGCACGAAAGCGUGGGGAGCAAACAGGAUUAGAUACCCGUGUAGUC
RNAcentral lists this ribosomal RNA (460 nucleotides) under uncultured bacterium. RNAcentral describes it as "partial 16S ribosomal RNA". It matches the Rfam family "Bacterial small subunit ribosomal RNA", at positions 338 to 795 of the family's 1533-position model. The record is from RNAcentral.